CACGUAGGGGGCAAGCGUUGUCCGGAUUUAUUGGGCGUAAAGAGCUCGUAGGCGGCUUGGUAAGUCGGAUGUGAAAACUCCAGGCUCAACCUGGAGCCGCCAUCCGAUACUGCUAUGGCUUGAGUCCGGUAGAGGAGUGUGGAAUUCCCGGUGUAGCGGUGAAAUGCGCAGAUAUCGGGAGGAACACCAGUGGCGAAGGCGGCACUCUGGGCCGGUACUGACGCUGAGGAGCGAAAGCGUGGGGAGCAAACAGGAUUAGAAACCCCAGUAGUCC
Molecule: ribosomal RNA, 274 nt
Filed under: uncultured bacterium
Lineage: Bacteria
Description: partial 16S ribosomal RNA
Rfam family: Bacterial small subunit ribosomal RNA
Source: RNAcentral